AGUACUACUUUCUAAUAUGUAUCGGAUAUGUUCAAGGCAUGCAAUAUGUAGCACUAAUGUAUCUUAGAACAUCAUGUCACAUGCAUCAACGACUAACAAACAUCUAUAAUAUGAUACGCUGAAUCAGAUUUGCAAUAAUGGAACUCCUUGUUAAAUUGAAGUACUUUAUAAACUUGCAAAGCUAAGACCUCCUCUUAGGAUGUGAUUGAUAUCAUUAUCAAAGAGAUACUUCAUAAUCAUGCAGAUUCAAAUAUUUGGUGAUGCACCACCUAAGACUCGAACCCAAAGACCCAAGACUCAAAUCCAAAAUAUCUGGUUGCUAAGUAGAGGGGUGUAAUCAUUGGGACAAGCCCCAAUUGACUAUAAAAAUGUAGACUUGAGAUUCCCAAAACAAUAAAUUACAGGUCAUCAAUGACAAAUUCGCCUCCCUCCCAAUAUGGGAGUGCAUACUAAAAAAACAAAUUACCGUUGCAACCAACCCAUGGUUUGAGGAACAGGUUAGUACUAGUCCGUACAAAGCAUCUUAGAUAAGUCCAGUGAUCGAUCAUAUAUUUUGACCCUAACUGCCUCAAAACUGGUGAAUCACGGUUUGUAUUGCUUGGUACCGGUUGGUAUCAAGUUCGACAAAGACUGGACAAAUUAGUUGGGAGCAAUACUAGCUAUCUGAUAAAACCCCUUGGCAUAUUUUUUUGUUGUCGCUUUUGAACGCAAAGGAAAGAGGAAGAAACAAAAGAAGAAGAGGAAGAGGACUCAUAUCUAGCCUCCUCAAAGCCGAAAUCCUCUAUAUAUCUCAACAAUCUCCUUUCUCACUUUUUUCUUUUGCCAUUGAAAAUGGCCAAACCUCAAAAAAAAGGGAAUACCAUGCCAAAAACCUCACCAAAUCCUAAACAAAAAACUUAAGCAACACCAAAUAGCAUCAAAACACAAAAAAAGAAAAAAGAAAGAAAAGAAGUCUUGAUACAAUAAUGUUGGGACACCACAUUGUAUCAUAUGUUAGAACCUCAGUGUUUCGAUAUUGUAUUGACUCGGUUCCUAACCAAUACUCACACCAGGUCCAAGUCAAACCGCAAACCAACUUUUGCCUAUGCAACUCAUCAAGCACUAGCUUCAUGUCAGUUACAUACAAUAAAAUCUACUAUACUACAAACACAGCAUUAUUUAGCUCCAAGAAUAGAUGAAUACAUAUUAAGCACCACAUCAUUAAAAGUACCCUAUAUAUGAUAAAAGGUUAACCAAAGGAUGCAUCAUCUGCUGGAAGCAAUCUUAGCAUCAAAACUGUGGAGAACAACUUAAGUAUAUGAACCAUCUCUUAGCCAGCAAGGACUCUGUUAAUCCUAUAGACAUAAUGCCACUACUUGAUCGAAAUAGUUGACUUUACACUAAUGGAUCUUCUCUAUUCAUGAGGUCAAGUCCUUUGAGAUGAGGGAAUUAUGAGAUGUUCCCUGUUGGAGUACUAGUUCAAUGCCCCACUCCUAGGUGACCAACCACUUUCAAUAAGCAAGUACACCAAUAACUUCUUAUUAUGAUCAUCCCUCCUUCAAUUAAACCCACAACACAUGAGUGGCAAUCUGGCCCCUACAAGUAAUACUAGGCUGAAGGAAGAACAAUGUUGACUAUCAAAGCACUCUAAACUUCAUAACAACACUCUUGGAAGUAAAGUUUGAAGGCAAAAGACAACCUCCACAUUACCAACUGGUCUCAUAUCCCAACACCUUUAAAUAGGAAAACUUUUUGUCUAAUACCUCACUUCUUGCUUAGGGGCAAAUGAAUGCAUGUAUGCAAUCUUUAGUCCAGUCAUCCUGACCACCACAUGAAAAGUACCAGAUAUUGGAAGAAGGAAUUAUCACCAUGACAAGUCGUUUUCCAUUUCUAAC
Molecule: long non-coding RNA, 1874 nt
Filed under: Phoenix dactylifera (date palm)
Lineage: Eukaryota; Viridiplantae; Streptophyta; Magnoliopsida; Arecales; Arecaceae
Description: long non-coding RNA (PDAC_LNC009422)
Source: RNAcentral